GAACCUUACCAAGUCUUGACAUCUGCCUGACCGCACCUUAACCGGUGCUUUCCUUCGGGACAGGCAAGACAGGUGGUGCAUGGUUGUCGUCAGCUCGUGUCGUGAGAUGUUGGGUUAAGUCCCGCAACGAGCGCAACCCCUAUCCUUAGUAGCCAGCAGUAAGAUGGGGACUCUAGGGAGACUGCCGGGGACAACCCGGAGGAAGGCGGGGACGACGUCAAAUCAUCAUGCCCCUUAUGAUUUGGGCUACACACGUGCUACAAUGGCGUAAACAGAGGGAAGCAGGCCAGCGAUGGUGAGCGAAUCCCAAAAAUAACGUCCCAGUUCGGACUGCAGUCUGCAACUCGACUGCACGAAGCUGGAAUCGCUAGUAAUCGCAGAUCAGAAUGCUGCGGUGAAUACGUUCCCGGGUCUUGUACACACC
Molecule: ribosomal RNA, 424 nt
Filed under: uncultured bacterium
Lineage: Bacteria
Description: bacterial SSU rRNA
Rfam family: Bacterial small subunit ribosomal RNA
Source: RNAcentral